AUUUUUAUAGUAAAAAUUAUAUUAUAUAACAUUUUCAUUGUUAAGUUGUUUUAAGACUAAAAAUU
This is a non-coding RNA of Varroa destructor (honeybee mite), 65 nucleotides long. Lineage: Eukaryota; Metazoa; Arthropoda; Arachnida; Mesostigmata; Varroidae. The record is from the annotation of a RefSeq genome assembly.